This 202-nucleotide ribosomal RNA is filed under the name uncultured bacterium. RNAcentral describes it as "partial 16S ribosomal RNA". It matches the Rfam family "Bacterial small subunit ribosomal RNA", at positions 1301 to 1500 of the family's 1533-position model. The record is from RNAcentral.
CAGCCUGCAACUCGGCUGCACGAAGCCGGAAUCGCUAGUAAUCGCAGAUCAGAAUGCCGCGGUGAAUACGUUCCCGGGUCUUGUACACACCGCCCGUCACACCAUGGGAGUCGGAAAUGCCCGAAGUCUGUGACCCAACCUGCAAGGGAGGGAGCAGCCGAAGGCAGGUCGGAUGACUGGGGUGAAGUCGUAACAAGGUACC